This 33761-nucleotide long non-coding RNA is filed under the name Triticum aestivum (bread wheat). RNAcentral describes it as "long non-coding RNA (TAES_LNC015035)". The record is from RNAcentral. Lineage: Eukaryota; Viridiplantae; Streptophyta; Magnoliopsida; Poales; Poaceae.
CUUUUUUUUGUAGUGAGUCCAAAAUAAUGGCAAAAGUGUUUGGAAAAGUAGAUACGAUGGAGACAUAUCACCUUCCUAGUGAAGAUGCCGCUACCCAUCUAAACAUCUUCGUUGAUUUAUGUGAUAUGCAAAAGAAGAAAGAUGUGGAUAAUGAUAUUGUUAAAUUGAAGCUAUUUCCGUUUUCACUUAGAGAUCGUGCUAAAACUUGGUUCUCUUCACAUGGUUUGGAUUCGGCCGUGGAUUCGGCCGUGGAUAAUUGCCCUACACAUGGUUUGAAUUUAUGGAUGAUUAUACAUAAUUGUUAUGUUGGAUUGGAUUUUGCUUCUAGAAAUCUUUUAGAUUCGGCCGUGGGAGGCACUUUUAUGGAAAUCACUUUAGGAGAAGCUACUAAACUCCUAUAUGAUGUUAUGGUUAAUUAUUCUCAAUGGCACACCGAAAGAUCUACUAGUAAAAAGGUUCAUGCGAUAGAAAAGAUUAAUGUUUUGAGUGGAAAGAUGGAUGAACUUAGGAAGUUAGUUGCUAAUAAGAGUGUUUCUUCUGAUCCUAAUGAUAUGCCUUUGUCCACUUUGAUUGAGAAUAAUAAUGAAUCUAUGGAUGUGAAUUUUGUUGGUAGGAACAAUUUUGGUAACAACGCUUAUAGAGGAAACUUUAAUUCUAGGUCGUUCCCUAGUAAUUCCUCUAAUAAUUAUGGUAAUUCCUACAACAACUCUUAUGGAAAUUUUAAUAAGAUGCCCUCUGAUUUUGAGACUAUUGUUAAAUAAUUUAUGAGUUUACAAAAGAAUUUCAAUGCUUUCAUUGAAGAAAAAUAGCUUAAGAUUGAUGAGUUGGCUAGGAACAUGGAUAUAAUUUCUGUUGAUGUUGAUUCUUUGAAACUUAGAUCUAUUCCACCUAAGCAUGAUAUCAAUGAGUCUCUCAAAGCCAUGAGAAUUUCCAUUGAUGAGUGCAAAGAAAGAACCGCUAGGAUGCGUGCUAAGAAAGAUUGCUUUGUGAAACCGUGUUCUUCUAGUUUUCAUGAUAAUAAAGAUGAAGAUCUAAAAGUGAUAGAUGUGUCUCCUAUUAAAUAUUUGUUUGCCAAUAUGAAUCUUCUUAAAGAUGGGACUGGAGAUGAGUCAACUUUAGUUAAAAGGCGUCCCAAUGAUUCGGAGUUUUUAGAUCUUGAUGCAAAAAUUGGUAAAAGUGGGAUUGAAGAUGUCAAAACUUUACAUAGAAAUGAACCCACUAUUUUGGAUUUCAAGGAAUUUAAUUAUGAUAAUUGCUCUUUGAUAGAUUGUAUUUCCUUGUUGCAACCCGUGCUAAAUUCUCCUCAUGCUUAUGACCAAAAUAAGGCCUUUACUAAACAUAUUGUUGAUGCUUUAAUGCAAUCUUAUGAAGAAAAGCAUGAACUAGAAGUUUCUAUCGCUAGAAAACUUUAUGAUGAGUGGGAACCUACUAUUAAAAUUAAUAUUGAAGAUCAUGAAUGCUAUGAUUUAUGUGAUUUGGGUGCUAGUGUUUCCAAAAUUCCAAAAACUUUGUGUGAUAUGUUAGGUUUCCGUGAAUUUGACGAUUGUUGUUUAAAUUUGCAUCUUGCGGAUUCCACCAAUAAGAAACCUAUGGGAAGGAUUAAUGAUGUUAUUAUUGUUGCAAAUUGGAAUUAUGUGCCCGUAGAUUUCAUUGUUCUUGAUAUAGAUUGCAAUCCUGCAUGUCCUAUUAUUCUUGGUAGACCUUUCCUAAGAAUGUAACAUCCCAAAGUUUCAGUUUGGAAUGUUAUACACUAGAUCAUCAUUGCAUAUCAUAUUUUAUUGCAUUUUGGCUGAUCCUAGAAAAUUCUACGCAACUCAAGGACCCAUCGGAGAGAGUUGGGGAUUUCGUUAUUUUCAUAUUUGAGUUUUCUCAAAUUUUGAAAAUAGGAUCAUUUGAUUUUAUUUAUUUUAUCUUCAAUUAUUUCUAUUACAAAAAUAUGAGAGAGGGAAUAAAAUGACUUUCCCAAAUAAAGAAAUAUUGAGGAUUUAAUAAAAAAUCAAAUAAUAUUCUAUUUUGGUUUAUUUGCUAUUUUAUUUGAAUUUAGGAAAAAUGCGCGUUUUUCAAAAUUGCAUUUAGGCCCCAAAUAAAUGUUCAUCUUGUGCGGCUUGAUUUUAGAAGCCGGGGAAAUUUUGUUUUGGGAUUUUUGGAGUCCAUUUAGUUUUCCUUUUGUUUUUUUUCUGAGCGUAACUAUUUUUAAAAACAAAUACAACCGACCUAACGGGUCGUGUCUGACCCGGACACUUGGCCCGGCCGGCUUUAUAAGCUGGGGAGGCCCAGCCGNNNNNNNNNNNNNNNNNNNNNNNNNNNNNNNNNNNNNNNNNNNNNNNNNNNNNNNNNNNNNNNNNNNNNNNNNNNNNNNNNNNNNNNNNNNNNNNNNNNNNNNNNNNNNNNNNNNNNNNNNNNNNNNNNNNNNNNNNNNNNNNNNNNNNNNNNNNNNNNNNNNNNNNNNNNNNNNNNNNNNNNNNNNNNNNNNNNNNNNNNNNNNNNNNNNNNNNNNNNNNNNNNNNNNNNNNNNNNNNNNNNNNNNNNNNNNNNNNNNNNNNNNNNNNNNNNNNNNNNNNNNNNNNNNNNNNNNNNNNNNNNNNNNNNNNNNNNNNNNNNNNNNNNNNNNNNNNNNNNNNNNNNNNNNNNNNNNNNNNNNNNNNNNNNNNNNNNNNNNNNNNNNNNNNNNNNNNNNNNNNNNNNNNNNNNNNNNNNNNNNNNNNNNNNNNNNNNNNNNNNNNNNNNNNNNNNNNNNNNNNNNNNNNNNNNNNNNNNNNNNNNNNNNNNNNNNNNNNNNNNNNNNNNNNNNNNNNNNNNNNNNNNNNNNNNNNNNNNNNNNNNNNNNNNNNNNNNNNNNNNNNNNNNNCCCGCGCCGACCCCGCCGGACCGCCGCCCCGCCGCUCGCCGGAGGUAGACCUCGCCGCUCUCGGUUUUUCUCGAAAAAACGAUCGGUUUUCCGUCGGUUUUGUUCGGUUUUUUUAGUUUCGUUUUUUUAAUAGAUCGGUUUUCCGGUCCGCCCGCCGCUCGCCGGAGGUAGACCUCGCCGCUCUCGGUUUUUCUCGAAAAACCGAUCGGUUUUCCGUCGGUUUUGUUCAGUUUUUUUAGUUUCGUUUUUUUAAUAGAUCGGUUUUCCGGUUUAUUUAUUUAGCGAGCGUUCGCUCGGCCGUUCGUUUUAACGAACGCGUUCAUCGUUUAGAUCCAGUUAACGAACGUCCGUUCAUUAAUCUGUUCGUUGUUUUCUUUUUCUCGGAUUAAAUCCACAAUUUUUUGAUCGCGAUUCCUGAUCCGUUUUUCGUUCUAGUAUAACUUUUCGCUCGUUUAUCGGAAUCAGGCGAUUCAAGCGCUUGGAGUUUCGUCUCGAAACCCUCUUUCUGGUUAACCAACUCAAACAAGUUUUUGCAUCUGUAAAAAAUUGCCCUAGAUCCAAAAUAGUAAAUGAAGCAUGUUUCUUUUUCCGUUUGUCUUUCGUUGCUUCGUUCGAUUUGAUUCUUUUGCCAACCAGAGUUCUUAAGUUGAACUUUCUGGUUAGAUCUCUUAUUUGAGUUUUACCUGUGCAUUAGUUGAGUACUUAUUGUAUGCUUGUUUGUUUGCGAUAGAGUACCCGGAGUGCGCUGCUUGCUACUUCGAAUCGCUAGGUUUCCCGGAUCAUCAGCAAGGCAAGUAACACUUUGAUCAUACCUCCUACUACCCAGUUUUAUUGCAUUAGAUCAAUCCUCACACAUUGCAUGAUUAGGAUCUAGUUAAAUUGUGGGUUUGGGAAGUAGUUGAGGUAGUACCUAUUACCUGUUUAUUAUCAAACCUUUGGGAGUUACUUCUACGUUGCUUAUUAUGCUAUGCUAUGCUAGUAGACGUGGAUCGGGUGAGUGUGUCCAUGACAGAUGUGAGAUUGUUAAAUUAAUGGUUUAUCUAAGGUGGCAACUUAAAUACACAUCUAGGUGGAUUGAGGCACCUGGGUAUUCCAGCGAUUGCAUGUUUUCUUUUGGACCGCCACCCAGGCUCAAAGGGAUCAUGAGAUUAUUCAUGCUAGAAACUUUCGUGUGCAGCCACAAGCUACUAUGGGCUCUAGCAUGGUUGAUUAAGUCAUGCGAACUCUUACAGUGGUAGACUAGCAGAUCUAGGGGAAAGUAGGUGUAACGGUCUAUCCGAUCAUAAGGUGCUAGCGCUUCUGAAAGACUAUGUCUCGGUCACCCGUUUCUCAAACACCAUGUAGUGCGAGAAAUCAAACGGAGGCGAUUGAGUCUUGUGGGGAAAAGUGCGCAAACCUCUGCAGAGUGUAUAAACUAAUCAUGGUUAGUCGUGUCCCCGGUUAUGGACAACUUGAGUAUCUAGUACCUGGAUUAUCAUGUCAAUCUCAUCAUGUUACUCUAAAAUUAAUUUUGUUGGGUUUUAUUUAAUGAUGAUGCUUAAAUGGGAUUGAGAAUGCUGUCAACCAUUCUCAAUAUUUAACAACUACCAUGAUAGUUAAAUAAAAUUUAUUCCUUUACAGUAGGGAAAAAUUGGCUUUACGCAAAACUGUAACCAUAGAGCUUUCCACCAGCCAAAUAUGCAUGUAGUAUAGCCUUAUCCUUGCAUUGCUCUCUAUGUGUUACAUUGUCAGCAUAUUCCAUGUGCUGGCCCGUUUCGGGCUGCAACGUUCAUCUUGCAGACUUUUCAGACGACGAUUAAGGUGUUUUUAGGUCGUGGUUCUGUACUCAGUGAUGUCGUUGGAGUUGAUGGACUCACUUAUCUUCCAAGCCUUCCGUUGUUAUUGUUAUUAGAUGGCCUUAAGUAAUAUUUAUUGUAAUAAGCUCUCUUUUGAGACACUCGAUGUAAUAAGUGUGUGAUUGCUAUUCUAUUAUAAAUCCUUUAAGUACUGUGUGGUGUCAGCAUUACUGAUCCAGGGAUGACACCGGAGCACAGAGAUUGGACCGUUUGAGGUCUGGUCCCUACAAGAUGGUAUCAGAGCACACGCUGACUGUAGGACACGACCACUAAGCUAAAGCCCUAGAUCACUACUCACUCUCUUCUCAUUCUAACUCCUCAUCUUUUCUACUCUUUUAGGAUGGCGGAUGCAAGGAACAAGUUCACGCAACCGGAUGAAGAUACACCCUUUGGCCGUCACUUGAAGGAAGUCAGUAGAUACCUGAACAUAGCAGUACUAAGCUUCAGCGGAACCUACAACGCCACUUUACCUGAAGAAGAGCGCUGGAUGAUUCAAGUUCAAGUUCCAGGAAGGACGUUCAUGCCAGUCACUAAGCCCAUAGAGUUCUAUUUUGAUGCACCAACUUGGAAUCUAGGAAAGAGCAUGGCAGCUCACAUCACCAUGGGACGCAUUGGAGAAGUUUACCGCAAUGAUCUCAAGGAUACUAUCUACCAGAUUUGUAGGCACCGAGAUGAGCACUGGGAGAUGAUCAGCACCAGGAAAGAUAGAUCAAUUGCAGCUUUUAUCCAAGAGUUAAACCAGCACAUUCGACAUCAGGAGAACCAGAUGUGCGCCAACAUGAUAGAUCUGAAGAAGGCAAAGAUUAGAAUCAAGGAACUGGAGGAAGAACUCAAGGCUACACGUGAAGAUUAUGAAGAAGAAAUCAAAGUAUUAGUGGAGAAGAAUGACGAUCUGAUCAAGAGGAUUGGAAUAUUUAUGGGAGGCCCUACACCAGUAGAAGAAGACGAAGAACCCAAGGAGAUACGCCCGGAAGACUACAUCAUCAUCGACGACACCGACUCAGAUCCGGAUGAUAGCGAUGAUGACUAUGUUGAUGAAGCUGGAGCAGAUAUCAUGGAGUCUGCAACCGAAGAAUAUUUCUAGUAGACCACCUCAUCAGUAGUAGUAGUCCACCAUGUAAAUAUAGUAGUUCGAGCACUUUUGCGAUAGAUAGAUCGAUUGUAUGCCCUUGUUUGAUUGAUUGAAUGAAGUGAAUUGUUUGCUUUUGCCUCAUGUGCAUAUGGGUAGUGUUUUCUCUCUAGACCCCUCUCUAUUCUUAAAUCUCAUCCUUUCUAAAACCCUCAGAUGCCUCCGAGACGUGACCCCGGAUUUACCUUUCCACCGGAGCUCACCCAGUUGAUCCAGCAGCAGAACACAUUGAUGCAGUUGCUAGUCCAGAAUCAGAAUCAGAGAAACAACAACAACAACAACCCACCACCACCACCUGUUGAUCACUUAGCCCGUUUUCUUAGGCUGAAUCCGCCGGUGUUUUCCAGUAGCACCGAGCCGAUAGUAGCAGAUGAUUGGCUCUGCAAGACAGCAAGGGAGUUGACCACCGCGGGAUGCACAGAUGCGGAAAAGGUGAAGUUUGCCGCACAUCAGCUUGAAGGACCCGCAGCAUCAUGGUGGGAGAAUUUCACAGUCACUUUCCUUGUCGACACUGUCACGUGGGACCAGUUUCAGCAGGCUUUCCGUACUGCCCAUGUUUCAGCAGGAGCUAUGGCCAUGAAGAAGCGUGAGUUUCGGAACUUGUGCCAAGGAGGAAGGACAGUUGGCCAGUAUGUCGAGGACUUUAGUAAGUUAGCUUGUUAUGCCCCAGAUGAUGUAGCUACGGAUGCAGCUAAGCAGGAGAAGUUUCUGGAAGGACUGAAUGAUGAGUUGAGCAUGCAGUUGAUGGUAGCAACCUUCAACAACUACCAGGAGUUGGCAGAUCGUGCUCUUAUGAUUGAAGGGAAGCAGCAGCAGAUUGAGAAUCACAAGAGGAAGUAUGGACAAGGGAAGUAUAAUUCAGGAGAUCAGCAGAAACCAUGUUUUACCCCUAGCCGGGAGGACAUUUUCAGCAUACCCAUGGAGGAGGUAGCUCGCACAAUCACAAUGGCACCAAGAAUGGUAAUGGGAAUGGAGGAAACAACGACCAGAACCGCACGAACCCAUCAACCCCAGCCAAGAGAGACCUGAGCCAAGUCACUUGCUUUAAGUGCCAGAAGACCGAACAUUAUGCCAAUGAAUGUCUUGAAUCCCAUAAUGGAAAUGGCAAUGGAAGCUCUGGGAAGAAGCCGAACCCUGUCAACAGGGGACCGGUGAACCACGUUAACAUGGAGGAGGUUGAAGAGCAGCCGGAUGCAGUAAUCGGUAAGUUUUUGGUUAAGUCAUUUACUGCACUCAUUCUUUUCGAUACUGGUGCAUCGCAUUCAUACAUAUCAAGGGGAUUUGUGGAUAAGUAUAACCUUCCCACCAAAGUUCUUAGAACACCUAUGUUAGUAAGCUCACCAGGAGCGGAGUAUAUGGCUAGCCAGGGAUGUUUUCAAGUGCCAUUGAGUAUAGGUAGGCAUGUGUUUCCCUCGGAUUUUAUCAUUUUGGAAUCACAAGGUUUGGAUGUAAUUCUGGGUAUGGAUUGGUUGUCGAUGUAUGGAGGAAACAUCGAUUGCACCAGUAAGUUGAUUUUGCUUACCACCCCAGAAGGGAUAAGGAUCAAGUAUGUAUCCCGGCAUGUGCCGAAGAGGACUCAAGUAAAUUGUCUAACAGGAGUUGUGCAGGAGGAAGUACCAGUAGUGAAGGAUUUCCCUGAUGUAUUUCCAGAAGAGUUGCCAGGCAUGCCACCAGAUAGAGAUAUUGAGUUUUUGAUUGAGCUUUUGCCAGGCACAGGACCAAUAUCUAAAAGACCAUAUAGGAUGCCCGCAAAGGAUUUGGUGGAGAUUCAGAAGCAGAUUAAGGAGUUACUGGAUAAAGGAUAUAUUCACCCAAGUUCUUUGCCUUGGGGAUCGCCAGUACUUCUAGUGGAGAAGAAGGAUGGAUCAUUAAGGAUGGUUGUUGAUUAUCGAGGAUUGAAUGAAGUAACCAUCAAGAACAAGUACCCACUACCGAUGAUCAAUGAUCUGUUUGAUCGAUUGCAAGGAGCAAAGGUAUUUUCCAAGAUCGAUCUGCGAUCAGGAUACCACCAGUUGAAGAUUCGAGAAUGGGAUAUACCUAAGACGGCUUUUACCACCAGGUAUGGGUUGUACAAGUAUACCAUUAUGUCAUUUGGUCUGACUAACACACCUGCAUAUUUUAUGAACAUGAUGAACAAAGUGUUUAUGGAGUUUUUGGAUAAGUUCGUCGUAGUGUUCAUCGAUGAUAUCCUGGUUUACUCGAAGAAUGAAGAGGAGCAUAAGGAGCAUUUGCGUUUGGUACUUGGUAAGCUCUAAGAACAUCAGUUAUAUGCCAAGUUUAGCAAAUGUGAGUUUUGGUUGAAGGAAGUUGGAUUUCUCGAGCACGUUAUAUCCGGAGAAGGUAUAGCAGUAGAUCCCACUAAGGUUGACACUGUGACAAAUUGGGAAGCCCCAACAACAGUUGGAGAAAUCCAGAGUUUUCUUGGACUCACAGGAUACUACCAGUGGUUCAUUGAAAAUUUCUCAAAGAUUGAGAAGCCUAUGACGGAGUUGUUGAAGAAGGAUACCAAGUUCAUAUGGACUGAGGAAUGUGAGGCCAGUUUCUAGGAGCUGAAGAAACGUUUGGUUACAUCACCGGUGUUGAUUUUGCCAGAUAAGACCAAGGAUUAUGAGGUGUAUUGUGAAGCUUCACGUCGAGGACUUGGAGCAGUGCUUAUGCAGGAAGGAAGAGUUGUUUCAUAUGCCUCACGACAGCUUAAGCCUCAUGAGUUGAAUUAUGCCACACAUGAUUUGGAGUUAGCAGCCGUAGUGCAUGCAUUGAAGACCUGGCGACACUUUCUCAUUGGAAAUCAUUGUGAGGUAUACACGGAUCACAAGAGUUUGAAGUAUUUUUUCACGCAGAAGGAGUUGAAUCUCAGACAAAGGCGAUGGUUGGAGCUCAUCAAGGAUUAUGGUAUGAGACUGCAUUAUCAUCUCGGAAAGGCUAACGUAGUAGCUGACGUGUUGAGUCGUAAGAGCCAUGUAAACACACUAAUGACGGGAGAUUUACCAAGGGAGUUAGCCAAAAAUCUUUGUGAGCUAUGUUUGGAGAUAGUCCCGAGAGGCUAUGUAGCAGCAUUGGAGAUUCCGUCGACUUUGGUGGAUAAGAUCAGAGAAGCCCAGAAGACUGACAAGGAGAUCGCUUCUAUUAAGGAGAAAAUGAGCAAGGGAAAAGCUAAAGGAUUUCGUGAGGAUGAGCAUGAUACCUUAUGGUUUGAAGACCGUGUUUAUGUGCCUUAUGACCCGGAGAUUAGGAAGUUAAUUCUGCAGGAGGCCCAUGAUUCACCAUAUUCGGUUCACCCAGGAAAUACCAAGAUGUAUUUGGAUUUGAAGGAUACUUUCUGGUGGGCCAGAAUGAAGAAGGAUAUUGCGGAGUAUGUAGCAGUUUGUGAUGUAUGUCAGAGAGUAAAGGCAGAGCAUCAGAAGCCAGCAGGAUUGUUACAGCCUUUGCCAAUACCCGAAUGGAAGUGGGAUAAGCUAGGCAUGGAUUUUAUUACGGGUUUACCCAGAACUCAUUCAGUCUAUGACUUGAUUUGGGUUGUAGUCGAUCGUUUGACAAAGGUAGCUCAUUUCAUCCCAGUAAAGACUACCUAUACCAGUGCAAAGUUGGCCAAGAUAUACAUGACCAGAAUCAUAUGUCUGCAUGGAGUUCCAAGGAGCAUUGUAUCAGAUAGAGGAACCCAGUUUACCUCAAAGUUCUGGAAUCAGUUGCAUGAAACUUUGGGUACCAGGCUAGAGUUCAGUACAGAUUUCCAUCCGCAGACAGAUGGACAGACCGAGAGAGUCAAUCAGAUUUUGGAGGAUAUGCUGAGAGCUUCUGCGCUAGAUUACGGAUCUAGUUGGGACGAGAAUUUUCCAUAUGCAGAGUUCUCUUAUAACAACAGUUAUCAAUCCAGUUUGAAGAUGGCCCCUUUAGAAGCCUUGUACGGAAGGAGGUGCAGGACCCCAUUGUCGUGGGAUGAAGUUGGAGACCGCCAGUUGUUUGGACCGGAUCUGAUUAAGGAGUCUGAACAGAAAGUGAAAUUGAUUAUCGAUAGGCUCAAGGUAUCCUAAUCCAGGCAGAAGAGCUAUGCGGAUUCUAAACGCAAGGAGACAGUUUACGAAGUCGGAGACCGAGUUUAUCUUCGAGUAUCUCCACUUCGAGGAGUUAAGCGCUUUGGAGUUAAGGGAAAGUUAGCACCAUGUUUUGUAGGACCAUACAAAGUUUUGGAGCGUAUGGGAGAAGUAGCCUACAAGUUGGAGUUGCCCGAAGGAUUGUCAGGAGUUCAGACGUGUUCCACGUUUUCCAGAUGAAGAAGUGCCACGCAGAGAUGGCUGAUAUACCACUGAGAAACACAGUGCCGCUGGAAGCGAUUCAGUUGGUCAGUGAUUUGAGCUAUGAGGAGAAACCAGUCAAGAUACUUGAGUAUGCCAGCCGAGUCACCCGCAGCAAGGUUAUAAAGUUUUGCAAAGUUCAAUGGAGCCACCACACGGAGGAUGAAGCCACCUGGGAGCGAGAGGAAGAAUUUCUAAAGGACCACCCUCACCUACUUUCUAGCCAACCCAAAUCUCGAGGACGAGAUUCAUCUUAAGGGGGGGUAGGUUUGUAACAUCCCAAAUUUUCAAUUUGGAAUGUUAUACACUAGAUCAUCAUUGCAUAUCAUAUUUUUAUUGCAUUUUGGCUGAUCCUAGAAAAUUCUACGCAACUCAAGCACCCUCGGAGAGAGUUGGGGAUUUCGUUAUUUUCAUAUUUGAGUUUUCUCAAAUUUUGAAAAUAGAAUCAUUUGAUUUUAUUUAUUUUAUCUUCAAUUAUUUCUAUUACAAAAAUUUGAGAGAGGGAAUAAAAUGACUUUCCCAAAAUAAAGAAAUAUUGAGGAUUUAGUAAAAAACAAAUAAGAUUUUAUUUUGGUUUAUUUGCUAUUUUAUUUGAAUUUAGGAAAAAUGCGCGUUCUUCAUAAUUGCAUUUAGGCCCCAAAUAAAUGUUCAUCUUGUGCGGCUUGAUUUUAGAAGUCGUGGAAAAUUUAUUUCGGGAUUUUUGGAGUCCGUUUAGUUUUCCUUUUUUUUCUGAGCGUAACUAUUUAUAAAAAACACAACCGACCUAAUGGGCCGUGUCCGACCCGGACACUUGGCCCGGACGGCUUUAUAAGCCGGGGAGGCCCAGCCGGACCCCCCCCCCCAAACCCUANNNNNNNNNNNNNNNNNNNNNNNNNNNNNNNNNNNNNNNNNNNNNNNNNNNNNNNNNNNNNNNNNNNNNNNNNNNNNNNNNNNNNNNNNNNNNNNNNNNNNNNNNNNNNNNNNNNNNNNNNNNNNNNNNNNNNNNNNNNNNNNNNNNNNNNNNNNNNNNNNNNNNNNNNNNNNNNNNNNNNNNNNNNNNNNNNNNNNNNNNNNNNNNNNNNNNNNNNNNNNNNNNNNNNNNNNNNNNNNNNNNNNNNNNNNNNNNNNNNNNNNNNNNNNNNNNNNNNNNNNNNNNNNNNNNNNNNNNNNNNNNNNNNNNNNNNNNNNNNNNNNNNNNNNNNNNNNNNNNNNNNNNNNNNNNNNNNNNNNNNNNNNNNNNNNNNNNNNNNNNNNNNNNNNNNNNNNNNNNNNNNNNNNNNNNNNNNNNNNNNNNNNNNNNNNNGCUGCCCGCGCUGACCCUGCCGGACCGCCGCCCCGCUGCUCGCCGGAGGUAGACCUCGCCGCCACCGGUUUUUCUCGAAAAACCGAUCGGUUUUCCGUCGGUUUUGUUCGGUUUUUUUAGUUUUGUUUUUUUAAUAGAUCGGUUUUCCGGUUUAUUUAUUUAGCAAGCGUUCGCUCAGCCGUUCGUUUUAACAAACCCGUUUAGAUCCAUUUAACAAACGUUCGUUCGUUAAUCUGUUCGUCGUUUUCUUUUUCUCGGAUUAAAUCCGCGAUUUUCUGAUCGCGAUUCCUGAUCCGUUUUUCGUUCUAGUAUAACUUUUCGCUCGUUUAUCGGAAUCAGGCGAUUCAAGCGCCUGGAGUUUCGUCUCGAAACCCUAUUUCCGGUUAACCAACUCAAACAAGUUUUUGCAUCUGUAAAAAGUUGCCCUAGAUCCAGAAUAGUAAACGAAGCCUGUUUCUUUUGUCGUUUGUCUUUCGUUGCUUCGUUCAAUUUGAUUCUUUUUGCCAACCGGAGUUCUUAAGUUGAACUUUCUGGUUAGAUCUCUUAUUUGAGUUUUACCUAUGCAUUAGUUGAGUACUUAUUGUAUGCUUGUUUGUUUGCGAUAGAGUACCCGGAGUGCGCAGCUUGCUACUUCGAAUCGCUAGGUUUCCCGGAUCAUCAGCAAGGCAAGUAACACUUUGAUCAUACCUCCUACUACCCAGUUUUAUUGCAUUAGAUCAAUCCUCACACAUUGCAUGAUUAGAAUCUAAUUAAAUUGUGGGUUUGGGGAGUAGUUGAGGUAGUACCUAUUACCUGUUUAUUAUCAAACCUUUGGAAGUUACUUCUACGUUGCUUAUUAUGCUAUGCUAUGCUAGUAGACGUGGAUCGGGUGAGUGUGUCCAUGACAGAUGUGAGAUUGUUAAAUUAAUGGUUUAUCUAAGGUGGCAACUUAAAUACACAUCUGGGUGGAUUGAGGCACCUGGGUAUUCCAGCGAUUGCCUGUUUUCUUUUGGACCGACACCCUGGCUCAAAGGGAUCAUGAGAUUAUUCAUGCUAGACACUUCUGUGUGCAGCCACAAGCUACUAUGGGCUCUAGCAUAGUUGAUUAAGUCGUGCGAACUCUUACAGUAGUAGACUAGCAGAUAUAGGGGAAAGUAGGUGUAACGGUCUACCCGAUCGUAAGGUGCUAGCGCUUCUGAAAGACUAUGUCUCGGUCAUCCGUUUCUCAAACACCAUGUAGUGCAAGAAAUCAAACGGAGGCGGUCGAGUCUUGUGGCGAAAAGUGCGCAAACCUCUGUAGAGUGUAUAAACUAAUCAUGGUUAGUCGUGUCCCCGGUUAUGGACAACUUGAAUAUCUAGUACCUGGAUUAUCAUGUGAAUCUCAUCAUGUUACUCUAAAAUUAAUUUUGUUGUGUUUUCUUUAAUGAUGAUGCUUAAAUGGGAUUGAGAAUGUUGUCAACCAUUCUCAAUGUUUAACAACUACCAUGAUAGUUAAAUAAAAUUUAUUCCUUUGCAGUAGGGAAAAAUUGGCUUUACGCAAAACUGUAAUCAUAGAGCUUUCCACCAGCCAAAUAUGCAUGUAGUAUAGCCUUAUCCUUUCAUUGCUCUCUAUGUGUUACAUUGCCAGCAUAUUCCAUGUGCUGACCCAUUUCGGGCUGCAACGUUCAUGUUGCAGACCUUUCAGACGACGAUUAUGGUGUUUUUAGGUCGUGGUUCUAUACUCAGUGAUGCCGUUGGAGUUGAUGGACUCACUUAUCUUCCAAGCCUUCCGCUGUUAUCGUUAUUAGAUGGCCUUAAGUCAUAUUUAUUGUAAUAAGCUCUCUUUUGAGACACUCGAUGUAAUAAGUGUGUGAUUGCUACUCUGUUAUAAAUCCUUCAAGUACUGUGUGGUGUCAGCUUUACUGAUCCAGGGAUGACACCGGAGCACAGAGAUUGGACCGUUUGAGGUCUGGUCGCUACAUAGAACGAUUGGUGCAAUUAUUGACAUGAAAGAAGGAACUAUUAGAUUCCAAUUUCCGUUAAGGAAAGGCAUGGAACACUUUCCUAGAAAAAAAUUAAAUUACCUUAUGAAUCUAUUAUGAGAGCCACAUAUGGAUUGCAUACCGAAGAUGACAAUACAUAGAUCUAUUCUUGCUUUUAUGCCUAGCUAGGGGCGUUAAGCGAUAGCGCUUGUUGUGAGGCAACCCAAUUUUAUUUUUGUUCCUUGAUUUUUGUUCCUGUUUAGUAAUAAAUAAAUCAUCUAUCCUCUGUUAUGAUUGUGUUUUUUUAUGUUUUAAUUAGUAUUUGUGCCAAGUAAAUCCUUUAGGAUCUUCUUGGGUGAUUGUUGUUUGAUCUUGCUGAAAAAAACAGAAAGUAUGCGCUCACAAAUUAUUUACCAAAGAGCGAUAAAAUACCAAUUCCAACUGUAGUAGAUUAGUAUACAAAUUAUUUAGGAUGUCCUAAUUUCUCAGGAUUUUUGGAGUUACAGAAGUAUUCGAAACUUCCAGAUUGCUACAGACUGUUCUGUUUUUGACAGAUUCUGUUUUUCGUGUGUUGUUUGCUUAUUUUGAUGAAUCUAUGGCUAGUAUCGGGGGCUAUGAACCAUAGAGAAGUUGGAAUACAGUAGGUUUAACACCAAUAUAAAUAAAGAAUGAGUUCAUUACAAUACCUUAAAGUGGUGGUUUGUUUUCUUAUACUAACGGAGCUCAUGAGAUUUUCUAUCGAGUUUUGUGUUGUGAAGUUUUCAAGUUUUUGGGUAAAGAUUUGAUGGAUUUUGGAAUAAGGAGUGGAAAGAGCCUAAUAUUGGGGAUGCCCAAGGCACCCCAAGGUAAAAUUCAAGGACAACCAAAAGCCUAAGCUUGGGUAUGCCCCGGAAGGCAUCCCCUCUUUUGUGUUCGUCUAUCGGUAACUUUACUUGAGGCUAUAUUUUUAUUCACCACAUGAUAUGUGUUUUGCUUGGAGCGUCUUGUAUGAUUUGAGUCUUUGCUUUUUAGUUUACCAAAAUCAUCCUUGGUGUACACACCCUUUUGGAGAGACACACAUGAAUCAGAAUUUAUUAGAAUACUCUAUGAGCUUCACUUAUAUCUUUUGAGCUAGAUAAUUUUGCUCUAGUGCUUCACUUAUAUCUUUUUAGAGCAAGGUGGUGGUUUUAUUUUAUAGAAAUUAUUGAUAUCUCAUGCUUCACUUAUAUUAUUUUGAGAGUCUUUUAGAACAGCAUGGUAAUUUGCUUUGGUUAUGAAAUUAGUCCUAAUAUGAUAGGCAUCCAAGAUGGGUAUAAUAAAAACUUCCAUAUGGAGUGCAUUGAAUACUAUGAGAAGUUUGAUACUCGAUGAUUGUUUUGAGAUAUGAAGAUGGUAAUAUUAGAGUCAUGCUAGUUGAGUAGUUGUGAAUUUGAGAGAUACUUGUGUUAAAGUUUGUGAUUCCCGUAGCAUGCACGUAUGGUGAACCGUUAUGUGAUGAAGUCGGAGCAUGAUUUAUUUAUUGAUUGUCUUCCUUAUGAGUGGCGGUCGGGGAUGAGCGAUGGUCUUUUCCUACCAAUCUAUCCCCCUAGGAGCAUGCGUGUAGUACUUUGUUUCGAUAACUAAUAGAUUUUUGCAAUAAGUAUGUGAGUUCUUUAUGACUAAUGUUGAGUCCAUGGAUUAUACGCACUCUCACCCUUCCACCAUUGCUAGCCUCUCAAGUACCGCGCAACUUUCGCCGGUACCAUAAACCCAGCAUAUACCUUCCUCAAAAAAGCCACCAUACCUACCUAUUAUGGCAUUUCCAUAGCCAUUCCAAGAUAUAUUGACAUGCAACUUUCCACCGUUCCAUUAUUUAUGACACGCUUCAUCAUUGUCAUAUUGCUUUGCAUGAUCAUGUAGUUGACAUCGUAUUUGUGGCAAAGCCACCGUUCAUAAUUCUUUCAUACAUGUCACUCUUGAUUCAUUGCACAUCCCGGUACACCGCCGGAGGCAUUCACAUAGUCAUAUUUUGUUCUAAGUGUCGAGUUGUAAUUCUUGAGUUGUAAGUAAAUAAAAGUGUGAUGAUCUCCAUUAUUAGAGCAUUGUCCCAUGUGAGGAAAGGAUGAUGGAGACUAUGAUUUCCCCACAAGUCGGGAUGAGAUUCUGGACGAAAAAAAGAGGCCACAAAAAAGAGAGAAAAAAGGCCCAAAUAAAAAAAUGAGAGAAAAAGAGAGAAGGGGCAAUGCUACUAUCCUUUUCCCACACUUGUACUUCAAAGUAGCACCAUGAUCUUCAUGAUAGAGAGUCUCCUAUUUUGUCACUUUCAUAUACUAGUGGGGAUUUUUCAUUAUAGAACUUGGCUUGUAUAUUCCAAUGAUGGGCUUCCUCAAAAUGCCCUAGGUCUUCGUGAGCAAGCGAGUUGGAUGCACACCCACUUAGUUUCUUUUGUUGAGUUUUCAUACACUUAUAGCCCUAGUGCAUCCGUUGCAUGGAAAUCCCUACUCGCUCACAUUGAUAUCUAUUGAUGGGCAUCUCCAUAGCCUGUUGAUAUACCUAGUUGAUGUGAGACUAUCUUCUCCUUUUUGUCUUCUCCACAACCACCAUUCUAUUCCACCUAUAGUGAUAUAUCCAUGGCUCACGCUCAUGUAUUGCGUGAAGAUUGAAAACGUUUUAGAACAUCAAAAGUAUGAAACAAUUGCUUGACUUGUCAUCGGGGUUGUGCAUGAUUUAAAUAUUUUGUGUGAUGAAGAUAGAGCAUAGCCAUACUAUAUGAUUUUUUAGGGAUAACUUUCUUUGGCCAUGUUAUUUUGAGAAGACAUAAUUGCUUGGUUAGUAUGCUUGAAGUAUUAUUAUUUUUAUGUCAAUAUUAAACUUUUGUUUUGAAUCUUUCGGAUCUGAAUAUUCAUGCCACAGUAAAGAAAAUUACAUUGAAAAUUAUGUUAGGUAGCAUUCCACAUCAAAAAAUCUGUUUUUUAUAUUUUACCUACUCGAGGACGAGCAGGAAUUAAGCUUGGGGAUGCUGAUACGUAUCCAAUGUAUCUAUAAUUUUUUAUUAUUCCAUGCUAUUAUAUUAUCUAUUUUGGAUGUUUAAUGGGCUUUAAUAUGCACUUUUAUGUUAUUUUUGGGACUAACCUAUUAACCGAAGGCCCAGUGCCAGUUGCUUUUUUUGCCUAUUUCAGUGUUUCGCAGAAAAGGAAUAUCAAACGGAAUCCAAACGGAAUGAAACCUUCGCGAGAAUUUUUUUGGACCAAAUGCAAUCCAGGAGACUUGGAGUAGAGGUCAAGGAAGCAACGAGGCGGCCACGAGCUAGGGCGGCGCGCGCCCCACCCUCGUGGGCCCCUCGUAGCUCCACCGACCUAAUUCCUUCGCCUAUAUAUACGCUUAUACCCUGAAAACAUCCAGGGAGCCAUGAAACCACUUUUCCACCGCCGCAACCUUCUGUACCCGUGAGAUCCCAUCUGGGGACCUUUUCUGGCGAUCUGCCGGAGGGGGAUUCGAUCACAGAGGGCUUCUACAUCAACACCAUAGCCUCUCCGAUGAUGUGUGAGUAGUUUGCCAUAGACCUUCGGGUCCAUGGUUAUUAGCUAGAUGGCUUCUUCUCUCUCUUUGGAUCUCAAAACAAAGUUCUCCUCGAUGUUCUUGGAGAUCUAUUCGAUGUAAUUCUUUUUGCGGUGUGUUUGCCGAGAGCCGAUGAAUUGUGGGUUUAUGAUUAAGAUUAUCUAUGAACAAUAUUUGAUUCUUCUCUGAAUUCUUAUAUGCAUGAUUUGAUAUCUUUGCAAGUCUCUUCAAAUUAUCAGUUUGGUUGGCCUACUAGAUUGAUCUUUAUUGCAAUGGGAGAAGUGCUUAGCUUUGGGUUCAAUUUUCCGGUGUCCUUUUUGUUGGGGAACGUUGCAGAAAACAAAAAUUUUCCUACGGUUUCACCAAGAUCCAUCUAUGAGUUCAUCUAACAACGAGUGAUCGGAUGCAUCUACAUACCUUUGUAGAUCGCGAGCGGAAGCGUUCAAAGAACGGGGAUGAGGGAGUCGUACUCAACGUGAUCCAAAUCACCGGAGAUCCUAGCGCCGAACGGACGGCACCUCCGCGUUCAACACACGUACGGUCAGCGUAACGUCUCCUCCUUCUUGAUCCAGCAAGGGGGAAGGAGAGGUUGAGGAAGAUGGCUCCAACAGCAGCACGACGGCGUGGUGGUGGUGGAGCUGCAGUACUCCGGUAGGGCUUCGCUAAGCUCUAUGGAGGAGGAGGAUGUGUUGGAGAGGGAGAGGGAGGCACCAAAGGAGUGGUUUGAGAGGCCCUCCUUCCCCACUAUAUAUAGGGAGCCUGGGGGGGGGGCUGGCCCUAGGAGAUGCAAUCUCCUAGGGGGCGGCGGCCAAGGGAGGAAUCCCUCCUCCCCAAGGCACCUAGGAGGUGCCUUCCCCCUUUAGGACUCUUCCUUUCUUGAUCUCCUGGCGCAUGGGCCUCUUGGGGCUGGUGCCCUUGGCCCAUAUAGGCCAAGGCGCACACCCCUACAGCCCAUGUGGCCCCACCCGGUGGACCCCCGGGACCCUUCCGGUGGUCCCGGUACAAUACCGGUGACCCCGAAACUUGUCCCGACGGUCGAAAUAGCACUUCCUAUAUAUAAUUCUUUACCUCCAGACCAUUCCGGAACUCCUCGUGAUGUCCGGGAUCUCAUCCGGGACUCCGAACAACAUUCGGGUUACUGCAUAUACAUAUCCCUACAACCCUAGCGUCACCGAACCUUAAGUGUGUAGACCCUACGGGUUCGGGAGACAUGUAGACAUGACCGAGAUCGCUCUCCGGUCAAGAACCAACAGCGGGAUCUGGAUACCCAUGUUGGCUCCCACAUGCUCCUCGAUGAUCUCAUCGGAUGAACCACGAUGUCGAGGAUUCAAGCAACCCCGUAUACAAUUCCCUUCAUCAAUCGGUAUGUUACUUGCCCGAGAUUCGAUCGUCGGUAUCCCAAUACCUCGUUCAAUCUCGUUACCGGCAAGUCACUUUACUCGUACCGUAAUGCAUGAUCCCGUGACCAGACACUUGGUCACUUUGAGCUCAUAAUGAUGAUGUAUUACUGAGUGGGCCCAGUGAUACCUCUCCGUCAUACGGAGUGACAAAUCCCAGUCUUGAUCCGUGUCAACCCAACAGACACUUUCGGAGAUACCCGUAGUAUACCUUUAUAGUCACCCAGUUACGUUGUGACGUUUGGUACACCCAAAGCACUCCUACGGUAUCCGGGAGUUACACGAUCUCAUGGUCUAAGGAAAGGAUACUUGACAUUGGAAAAACUCUAGCAAACGAACUAUACGAUCUUAUGCUAUGUUUAGGAUUGGGUCUUGUCCAUCACAUCAUUCUCCUAAUGAUGUGAUCUCGUUAUCAAUGACAUCCAAUGUCCAUAGUCAGGAAACCAUGACUAUCUGUUGAUCAACGAGCUAGUCAACUAGAGGCUUACUAGGGACAUGUUGGUGUCUAUUAUUCACACAUGUAUUACGAUUUCCGGAUAACACAAUUAUAGCAUGAAUAAAGACAAUUAUCAUGAACAAGGAAAUAUAAUAAUAAUGCCUUUAUUUUUGCCUCUAGGGCAUAUUUCCAAUAGUCUCCCACUUGCACUAGAGUCAAUAAUCUAGUUACAUUGUGAUGAAUCAAACAGCCAUGGAAUUCUGGUGUUGAUCAUGUUUUGCUCUAGGGAGAGGUUUAGUCAACGGAUCUUCUACAUUCAGGUCCGUAUGUACUUUACAAAUAUCUAUGUCUCCAUCUUGAACAUUUUCACGAAUGGAGUUGAAGCGACGCUUGAUGUGCCUUGUCUUCUUGUGAAACCUGGGCUCCUUGGCAAGAGCAAUAGCUCCAGUGUUGUCACAGAAGAGCUUGAUCGGCCCCGACGCAUUGGGUAUGACUCCUAGGUCGGUGAUGAACUCCUUCACCCAAAUUGCUUCAUGCGCUGCCUCCGAGGCUGCCAUGUACUCCGCUUCACAUGUAGAUCCUGCCACGACGCUCUGCUUGCAACUGCACCAGCUUACUGCCCCACCAUUCAAAAUAUACACGUAUCCGGUUUGUGACUUAGAGUCAUCCAGAUCUGUGUCGAAGCUAGCGUCGACGUAACCUUUUACGACGAGCUCUUCGUCACCUCCAUAAACGAGAAACAUGUCCUUAGUCAUUUUCAGGUACUUCAGGAUAUUCUUGACCGCUGUCCAGUGUUCCUUGCCGGGAUUACUUUGGUACCCACCUACCAAACUUACGGCAAGGUUUACAUCAGGUCUGGUACACAGCAUGGCAUACAUAAUAGAACCUAUGGCUGAGGCAUAGGGGAUGACACUCAUCUCUUCUAUAUCUUCUGCCGUGGUCGGACAUUGAGCUGAGCUCAAUUUCACACCUUGCAACACAGGCAAGAACCCCUUCUUAGACUGAUCCAUAUUGAACUUCUUCAAUAUCUUAUCAAGGUAUGUGCUUUGUGAAAGACCUAUGAGGCGUCUUAAUCUGUCUCUAUAGAUCUUGAUGCCUAAUAUAUAAGCAGCUUCUCCAAGGUCCUUCAUUGAAAAACUCUUAUUCAAGUAGGCCUUAAUGAUGUCCAAGAGUUCUAUAUCAUUUCCCAUCAAAAGUAUGUCAUCUACAUAUAAUAUGAGAAAUGCUACAGAGCUCCCACUCACUUUCUUGUAAACACAGGCUUCUCCAUAAGUCUGCGUAAACCCAAACGCUUUGAUCAUCUCAUCAAAGCGAAUGUUCCAACUCCGAGAUGCUUGCACCAGCCCAUAAAUCAAGCGUUGGAGCUUGCACACCUUGUCAGCAUUCUUAGGAUCGAAAAAACCUUCCGGUUGCAUCAUAUACAAUUCUUCCUUAAGGAAACCAUUAAGGAAUGCCGUUUUGACGUCCAUUUGCCAUAUCUCAUAAUCAUAGAAUGCGGCAAUUGCUAACAUGAUUCAGACGGACUUUAGCUUCGCUACCGGUGAGAAAGUCUCAUCGUAGUCAACCCCUUGAACUUGUCGAUAACCCUUAGCGACAAGCCGAGCUUUAUAGAUGGUCACAUUACCAUCCGCGUCUGUCUUCUUCUUAAAGAUCCAUUUAUUUUCUAUGGCUCGCCGCUCUACAGGCAAGUCAGUCAAAGUCCAUACUUUGUUUUCAUACAUGGAUCCUAUCUCGGAUUUCAUGGCUUCCAGCCAUUUGUCGGAAUCCGGGCCCGCCAUCGCUUCCUCAUAGUUCGAAGGUUCACCGUUGUCUAACAACAUGAUUUCCAAGACAGGGUUGCCGUACCACUCUGGUGCGGAACGUGUCCUUGUGGACCUUCGAAUUUUAGUAGGAGCUUGAUCAGAAGUAUCUUGAUCAUCAUCAUUAACUUCCUCUCUAGUUGGUGCAGGCACCUCAGGAACAUUUUCUUGAGCUGCGCCAUUUUCCGGUUCAAGAGGUAAUACUUCAUCAAGUUCUACUUUCCUCCCACUUACUUCUUUCGAGAGAAACUCUUUCUCUAGAAAGGACCCAUUCUUGGCAACAAAGAUCUUGCCUUCGGAUCUGAGGUAGAAGGUAUACCCAAUAGUUUCUUUGGGGUAUCCUAUGAAGACGCAUUUUUCCGAUUUGGUUUCGAGCUUUUCAGGUUGAAGUUUCUUGACAUAAGCAUCGCAUCUCCAAACUUUUAGAAACGACAGCUUAGGUUUCUUCCCAAACCAUAAUUCAUACAGUGCCGUCUCAACGGAUUUCAACGAAGCCCUAUUUAAAGUGAAUGCGGCAUUCUCUAAAGCAUACCCCCAAAAAGAUAGCGGUAAAUCGGUAAGAGACAUCAUAGAUCGCACCAUAUCUAAUAGAGUGCGAUUACGACGUUCGGACACACCAUUACGCUGAGGUGUUCCAGGCGGCGUGAGCUGUGAAACUAUUCCACAUUUUCUUAAGUGUGUGCCAAACUCAUGACUCAAGUAUUCUCCUCCACGAUCUGAUCGCAGGAACUUGAUUUUCCUGUCACGUUGAUUCUCAACCUCACUCUAAAAUUCUUUGAACUUUUCAAAGGUCUCAGACAUACCCAUAUCUACUCAAGUCAUCAGUGAGGGUGAGAACAUAACGAUAGCCACUGCGAGCCUCAACACUCAUUGGACCGCACACAUCAAUAUGUAUGAUUUCCAAUAAGUUGGUUGCUCGCUCCAUUGUUCCUGAGAACGGAGUCUUGGUCAUUUUACCCAUGAGGCAUGGUUUGCACGUGUUAAAUGAUUCGUAAUCAAGAGACUCUAAAAGUCCAUCAGCAUGGAGCUUCUUCAUGCGUUUGACACCUAUGUGACCAAGGCGGUAGUGCCACAAGUAUGUGGGAUUAUCAUUAUCAAUCUUACAUCUUUUGGUACUCACACUAUGAACAUGUGUAGCAUUACGCUCGAGAUUCAUUAAGAAUAAACCAUUCAGCAUUGGAGCAUGACCAUAAAACAUAUCUCUCAUAUAAAUAGAACAACCAUUAUUCUCGGAUUUAAAUGAGUAGCCAUCUCGUAUUAAACGAGAUCCUGAUACAAUGUUCAUGCUCAAAUCUGGCACUAAAUAACAAUUAUUGAGGUUCAAAACUAAUCCCGUAGGUAAAUGUAGAGGUAGCGUGCCGACGGCGAUCACAUCGACCUUGGAACCAUUCCCGACGCGCAUCGUCACCUCGUCCUUCGCCAGUCUCCGCUUAUUCCGCAGCUCCUGCUUUGAGUUACAAAUGUGAGCAACUGCACCGGUAUCAAAUACCCAGGAGCUACUACGAGUACUGGUAAGGUACACAUCAAUUACAUGUAUAUCACAUAUACCUUUCGUUUUGCCGGCCUUCUUGUCUGCUAAGUAUUUGGGGCAGUUCCGCUUCCAGUGACCACUUCCCUUGCAAUAAAAGCACUCAGUCUUGGGCUUGGGUCCAUUCUUUGGCUUCUUCCCAGUAGCUUGCUUACUGGGCGCGGCAACUCCCUUGCCGUCCUUCUUGAAGUUCUUCUUACCCUUGCCUUUCUUGAACUUAGUGGUUUUAUUCACCAUCAACACUUGAUGUUCCUUUUUGACUUCUACCUCUGCUGAUUUCAGCAUUGCAAAUAAUUCGGGAAUGGUCUUUUCCAUCCCCUGCAUAUUGAAGUUCAUCACAAAGCUCUUGUAGCUUGGUGGAAGCGACUGAAGGAUUCUGUCAAUGACUGCGUCAUCUGGGAGAUUAACUCCCAGCUGAGUCAAGCGGUUAUGUAACCCAGACAUUGUGAGCAUGUGCUCACUGACAGAACUAUUUUCCUCCAUCUUACAACUAAAAAACUUGUCGGAGACUUCAUAUCUCUCGACCCGGGCAUGAGCUUGGAAAACCAUUUUCAGCUCUUCGAACAUCUCAUAUGCUCCGUGUCUCUCAAAACGUUUUUGGAGCCCCGGUUCUAAGCUGUAAAGCAUGCCGCACUGAACGAGGGAGUAAUCAUCAGCACGUGUCUGCCAAGCAUUCAUAACAUCUUGGUUCUGUGGGACGGGUGCGUCACCUAGCGGUGCUUGUAGGACAUAAUCUUUCUUGGCAGCUAUGAGGACGAUCCUCAGGUUCCGGACCCAGUCCGUAUAGUUGCUGCCAUCGUCUUUCAUCUUGGUUUUCUCUAGGAACGCGUUGAAGUUGAGGACUACGUUGGCCAUUUGAUCUACAAGACAUAUUGUAAAGAUUUUAGACUAAGUUCAUGAUAAUUAAGUUCAUCUAAUCAAAUUAUUCAAUGAACUCCCACUUAGAUAGACAUCCCUCCUGUAAUCUAAGUAUAACAUGAUCCGAGUUAACUAGGCCGUGUCCGAUCAUCACGUGAGACGGACUAGUCAACAUCGGUGAACAUCUUCAUGUUGAUCGUAUCUUCUAUACGACUCAUGCUUGACCUUUCGGUCUUCUGUGUUCCGAGGCCAUGUCUGUACAUGCUAGGCUCGUCAAGUCAACCUAAGUGUUUGCACGUGUAAAUCUGUCUUACACCCGUUGUAUGUGAACGUUGGAAUCUAUCACACCCGAUCAUCACGUGGUGCUUCGAAACAACGAACUGUCGCAACGGUGCACAGUUAGGGGGAACACUUUCUUGAAAUUAUUAUGAGGGAUCAUCUUAUUUACUACCGUCGUUCUAAGCAAACAAGAUGCAAAAACAUGAUAAACAUCACAUGCAAUCAAAUAAUAAUAGUGACAUGAUAUGGCCAAUAUCACAUAGCUCCUUUGAUCUCCAUCUUGGGGCUCCAUGAUCAUCUUGUCACCGGCAUGACACCAUGAUCUCCAUCAUCAUGAUCUUCAUCAUCAUGAUCUCCAUCAUCGUGUCUCCAUGAAGUUGCUCGCCAACUGUUACUUCUACUACUAUGGCUAACACGUUUAGCAAUAAAGUAAAGUAAUUUACAUGGCAUUUCUCAAUGACACGCAGGUCAUACAAAAAAUAAAGACAACUCCUAUGGCUCCUGCCGGUUGUCAUACUCAUCGACAUGCAAGUCGUGAUUCCUAUUACAAUAGCAUGAACAUCUCAUACAUCACAUAUAUAUCAUUCAUCAUUCAUCACAACUUUGGCCAUAUCAUAUCACAAAGCACUUGCUGCAAAAACAAGUUAGACGUCCUCUAAUUGUUGUUGCAAGUUUUACGUGGCUGCAAUAGGGUGCUAGCAAGAACGUUUUCUUACCUACGUGAAAACCACAACGUGAUUUGUCAACUUCUAUUUACCCUUCAUAAGGACCCUUUUCAUCGAAUCCGCUCCAACUAAAGUGGGAGAGACAGACACCCGCCAGCCACCUUAUGCAACUUGUGCAUGUUAGUCGGUGGAACCGGUCUCACGUAAGCGUACGUGUAAGGUUGGUCCGGGCCGCUUCAUCCCACAAUACCGCUGAAGCAAGAUAAGUCUAGUAGCGGCAAGAAAGUUGACAACAUCUACGCCCACAACAAAUUGUGUUCUACUCGUGCAAAGAGAACUACGCAUAGACCUAGCUCAUGAUGCCACUGUUGGGGAACAUUGCAGAAAACAAAAAAUUUCCUACGAUUUCACCAAGAUCCAUCUAUGAGUUCAUCUAACAACGAGUGAUCGGAUGCAUCUACAUACCUUUGUAGAUCGCGAGCGGAAGCGUUCAAAGAACGGGGAUGAGGGAGUCAUACUCGACGUGAUCCAAAUCACCGGAGAUCCUAGCGCCGAACGGACGGCACCUCCACGUUCAACACACGUACGGUCAGCGUAACGUCUCCUCCUUCUUGAUCCAGCAAGGGGGAAGGAGAGGUUGAGGAAGAUGGCUCCAACAGCAGCACGACGACGUGGUGGUGGUGGAGCUGCAGUACUCCGGCAGGGCUUCGCCAAGCUCUAUGGAGGAGGAGGAUGUGUUGGAGAGGGAGAGGGAGGCACCAAAGGCGUGGUUUGAGAGGCCCUCCUUCCCCACUAUAUAUAGGGAGCCUAGGGGGGCGCCGGCCCUAAGAGAUGCAAUCUCCUAGGGGGCGGCGGCCAAGGGAGGAAUCCCUCCUCCCCAAGGCACCUAGGAGGUGCCUUCCCCCUUUAGGACUCUUCCUUUCUUGAUCUCCUGGCGCAUGGGCCUCUUGGGGCUGGUGCCCUUGGCCCAUAUAGGCCAAGGCACACACCCCUACAGCCCAUGUGCCCCCCCGGGGCAGGUGGCCCCACCCGGUGGACCCCCGGGACCCUUCCGGUGGUCCCGGUACAAUACCGGUGACCCCGAAACUUGUCCCGACGGCCGAAAUAGCACUUCCUAUAUAUAAUUCUUUACCUCCGGACCAUUCCGGAACUCCUCGUGACGUCCAGGAUCUCAUCCGGGACUCCGAACAACAUUCGGGUUACUGCAUAUACAUAUCCCUACAACCCGAGCGUCACCGAACCUUAAGUGUGUAGACCCUACGGGUUCGGGAGACAUGUAGACAUGACCGAGAUCGCUCUCCGGUCAAUAACCAACAGCGGGAUCUGGAUACCCAUGUUGGCUCCCACAUGCUCCUCGAUGAUCUCAUCGGAUGAACCACGAUGUCGAGGAUUCAAGCAACCCCGUAUACAAUUCCCUUCGUCAAUCGGUAUGUUACUUGCCCGAGAUUCGAUCGUCGGUAUCCCAAUACCUCGUUCAAUCUCGUUACCGGCAAGAAACUUUACUCGUACCGUAAUGCAUGAUCCCGUGACCAGACACUUGGUCACUUUGAGCUCAUAAUGAUGAUGUAUUACUGAGUGGGCCCAGUGAUACCUCUCCGUCAUACGGAGUGACAAAUCCCAGUCUUGAUCCGUGUCAACCCAACAGACACUUUCGGAGAUACCCGUAGUAUACCUUUAUAGUCACCCAGUUACGUUGUGACGUUUGGUACACCCAAAGCACUCCUACGGUAUCUGGGAGUUACACGAUCUCAUGGUCUAAGGAAAGGAUACUUGACAUUGGAAAAACUCUAGCAAACGAACUAUACGAUCUUAUGCUAUGUUUAGGAUUGGGUCUUGUCCAUCACAUCAUUCUCCUAAUGAUGUGAUCUCGUUAUCAAUGACAUCCAAUGUCCAUAGUCAGGAAACCAUGACUAUCUGUUGAUCAACGAGCUAGUCAACUAGAGGCUUACUAGGGACAUGUUGGUGUCUAUUAUUCACACAUGUAUUACGAUUUCCGGAUAACACAAUUAUAGCAUGAAUAAAGACAAUUAUCACGAACAAGGAAAUAUAAUAAUAAUGCCUUUAUUAUUGCCUCUAGGGCAUAUUUCCAACACUUUCCCAGUGACAGUAGGGGCAGCAAGGCACGUAUUAUAUUGUUGCCAUCGAGGAUAAAAAGAUGGGGUUUAUAUCAUAUUGCUUGAGUUCAUCCCUCUAGAUCAUGUCAUCUUGCCUAAUGCGUUACUCUGUUCUUAUGAACUUAAUACUCUAGAUGCAUGUUGGAUAGCGGUCGAUGUGUGGAGUAAUAGUAGUAGAUGCAGAAUUGUUUCGGUCACUUGACACAGACGUGAUGCCUAUGUUCAUGAUCAUGCCUAGAUACUCUCAUAACUAUGCGCUUUUCUAUCAAUUGCUCGGCAGUAAUUUGUUCACCCACCGUGAUAUAUGCUAUCUUGAGAGAAGCCACUAGUGAAACCUAUGGCCCCCGGGUCUACUUUACAUCAUGUAAGUUUCCGAUCUACAAUUCUAGUUUACUAUUUAUUUUGCAAUCUUUAUUUUCCAAUCUAUACAACAAAAAUACCAAAAAUAUUUAUCUUAUUAUCUUUAUCAGAUCUCACUUUUGCAAGUGGUCGUGAAGGGAUUGACAACCCCUUUAUCGCGUUGGUUGCAAGGUUCUUAUUUAUUUGUGCAGGUACUAGGCGACUUGCGUGUAGUCUCCUACUGGAUUGAUACCUUGGUUCUCAAAAACUGAGGGAAAUACUUACGCUACUUUGCUGCAUCACCCUUUCCUCUUCAAGGGAAAACCAACGUAUGCUCAAGAGGUAGCAGUUGCCAAGAUGGCAGCUUCAGGCUUACUGAUGUAUUACUUUGUAAGUUCUUUGUGAAUAAUUAAUAAAAUGAUUGCAUGCAUUGCCCAGAUGCAGAGGCCGGGGGUAUAUCCUUCUAAAAAAACUCAACAAAAGUUAGGUCAAAGAUAUUUGAGAUGUUGUUAGUUGAAGUUUUGGCAUUUGUAUAAGUUAUGUGUUCGAGUUGAAAUCCAUAAACAACAUACUCACCAGCAGAUACGGUUUUGUCAUGCUACGUUGCUUCUGUGCUAGCCAUGUUCUCUCUUAAUCACCAGAUCUUGGUUAAUCUUGUUUUCUGGGCACACCAUGCAGUCUUUAUAGAGAACGACACAUUGACCUUUAGAGAAAACACCAAUGCAAUGAUCUUUACUCGAUAUGUUGGAUUUCAUGUUAUCGCGGUUAGAUGAAUCUAUGGGGAUUAUAGUGUUUUUUCAGGACUAGGAAACACAGCCUCCAUUUGGUACUGUAUUGAAUUUUUUUCAUAAUUCAGAAACACCACCUUUGACUCAGUACCGAUUUUUCAGCCUUUAGGCCAACCUGGAUGGUUGUUUUCAAGACGAAUACCUAUGUAAUAUUUUAGAGCUUAAAAUUUCGACCAAGGGACCAAAACGUGCAUGGAUCGCCGUUUUAGUUUUCUUUUUCACCCAAUUUGUAUUGAAUACACAUGCAAAAUAUUGGACCAUGGUAGACCCCUGUUCUUUGCAUCGAAAAGGGAGCAAAAAAUGCGAUGGAAGUAAAGGGGCACCUUUACUUUUACCAUACAUUUCCCACUACUCCCUCCAUUCCAACGAGCAAUAAAGAUUUGAGUUGGUGGUCGUCCAUAGUCAGGCCAUGCAAAAGCAUGACCCUAGCAAGUGGUCUAUGCUGAUACCCCGCCCCUCCACCCGCCAUGGCAAUGCAAUUCAAAGAUAAUCACUCCUCUAUGUCUCCAUCCACCACCUCUGCAUCGACAUGCAUGCUAUGUCGUCCUCAUGGCAUGCUUUGUCACCACGCUCAUGCUUGACGUCACCAACUUGGAGUGUGGUAGAGGCAUGGUGGGUGUCAUGACCUUCUCGAGUAGCGUCAUUCGGACGUACGUUUUCUUAGCUAAAUCUAGUGGCCAUUGAGGACACAAGAGCUUGUAUGUGGCAAGGGUCAUGGCAACAACUUUUUCGAGGCCACAAGUGGUGAGUAGGGCCGGUCUGGCAUUUUAAAGGUAACAGUGCAAACUUGGUACACUAUAAUAGAGUAAAGGAAGUACUUCCACAAAUAUAUAUUGCACAUCAUGAAAGUUAUUAUAAAGGUAUAAAUACCAGAAAUAUAAUUUUAAUUACCAAAUAAGGUGAGACGAAAAUGAAUCGAAGACUAAAUUGGUUGAAUCACAAUGUGAUAGUUAUCUAAAGAGUAUGUGAUACAUGUACUCCAAUGUAAACAAUUGUUGAAGAAAUGUGGUGAUGCGUUAGCAAAGUCUCUCUUUUUCCGUUGGUAUUGUGUGAUGUAAAUAUAUUUUAGAAUGUAUUAAUGUAUGUAGAUGUAUUGGUCCGUUAUUUGAGAUGAGCCAUAGGCUGUGACACUUGUUUUCAUUCUCCGGGGCCAGCCCUGCACUUGGCAUAUCUUGCGCUACUACCAUGGUCUGUGGCGCAUGAUCCUCAGCAUGCAACUGAGCCACCAUCGGUGAUGACCUUUGCAUGCCCUUUUAAGUUGCUUGCUUGGGCAAGGUGUAGGAUUAUUUAUGACAUGAGUUAUUUAAAAAUGAUUCACAUGUUCUCUGAAUUAUCGACUGAUUCAACAACAUGGCUACGGUCCACCUACUCCUAUAUAUACUUACACUCUCCUUAAUAAUGUGUUUUUUCUAAGCUUUCUUCUAGUAGCCCCUUCACUUGCUCAUAUUCAGGCAUUGUUGUGGAUGCCAUAGAAGCACUGACAAGAAAAUUUAUGGAGUCUUCUGUGAAAACAAUGUAUAUGCAUUGUAACCGACCCAACCAUAUGUGCAACAUCUCGAUAAGUGAGAAGCUUCACUCUUGUGAUAAGAAAUGAGAGAGCUGGGUUGUCAGCAGCUUCGGUCUUGUGAUAAGAAAAUGGAAAAUGCCAAAGACGAGCCAUUCUUGUUGGGUGGAGCACGAACACUAAGCAUUGAUCCAUCUUGUUUUCACAAUGCUUCAUAGAUUUUCUUAUGAACAAACAGGUAAUAUAAAAUUUCCAACAUUAAGAAUGGUAAUUCCUCUAGUAUGUUCACCAGAAUACAUACGACAUAGAACCACCCAAGCAACAUAGCAUGUAGUAGCGGGGCUAUGUGCAGGCUAGAGGUCUUUUGCCCCCCUCCCCCCUCCCCCACCCCCAAGAAAACCAUGUGCAAUGAAAAACUCCUUGAAUAUGAUAUCGGUAGAGAAGACCUACAAAUAAACAUCUUAGUUGUUUGAACAAUGCAAAUGAUAAGCAUGAGUCUUUGGCUUCCGUUGAGAUGUUAUUCAUCUACCAGACUUUAUCAAAAGGCACUGGUAUUAUUGGUGGUGCCAUCUUGGCUGGGAAUCCAUUUUAUGCGGACGCCAUAGGAACCUUCCUCUAUCUCUUGUUUGUUUACUCACAUGACUAUUAGUUUAGGAGGUAAACGUUGAAACAUUGGAUGGUUUUCUCCUUGCAAUGCCUUCAUAUAUUGAACAAUCGAACUUGGAUUGCGUCCAUGUGCAUAAGAACUUAGAGAAGUUUGAUGUGAACAACAUUUUAUUAUGAUCCUUACCAAGACAAAACAUAGAUGAGUACAAGAAAGCAGACAAAGCCAUAUAUAUAAUGACCAUUCUUGAAAUUACUUCACUCAGCCCAGAGGGUCUUUGCCACAAGAAAAGAUGAAUAAAUUGGCACAAAAUAUAGUAGCACAAAAAUGGUCUCGUCUUGAUUCUUGUCUUAUCUGUCAUCAAAAACCACAAUAGGAUACAAACGAGCAAAAAUAAUCAGAGCAAGGUCCGCCAGACUUGUGUCAGACACAUGUGUGAGGUUACACUAUAACUGACAUAAAAAAUUCCAUUCGGAUGGAUAUAGCUGGAGUAACGUGAUUUUACUUUACAGGAUGAAAAUAUCGAAGCCCGUUGAUAAAAUAUUGGCAUGUGUUUCGGCGAACAAGGAGAUGACUCUCGGAUAGAAGUAGCCAUGAAAGAAAACAUGUUGGUAUUGAGGUAUGUAGACAAGGCCAUCGCUAGCGUUUCGGAGAGGCUCUAGUGCUGAGUACAGUGGGCCCAAUGGCAAUAAUAGAAUAUAUUAUGUAUUGCAACAUAAAUAAUUAUUGAAGAAAUGUAAUAUGGUGUCAUGAAGGGGGAGGGGGCCAAAGCCAAGCCUCCUGCAAAACAAAAUUUAGUAUUAUGAUUUAUGUAUGUCAAUAUAUAGGGAGCUUAUUUGAGGUGGGUAUUGCUCAGUUGCACCUUUUGUCAUGGGGAUGGCAUCAGUGGCUAGAGAAAAAAUGGAGAUAGCUUGGUCUAGCUUGAGGUGUUGCAGCAGGGAAGCUUCGAGUAGCUCGGUUGUUUACCUCUCAAUGAAGGACAUGAGUUCUUGGAUUAGGUUGACCGGAUCUGUUCAUAUCUUUGUUAGUAAUGCAAAAAAGAGGAUAAUGAUGUGGGGGUCAUGGAUUCUGUAUAAGAUAUGUCUUUUUAAUACAAUGUCGUUGUUCUUAGGGACGAGGAUUUGUGGCUCUCAGGUGCCACACACACCCCUAUAUGAACACAACACUAAAAAAAUACCACAAAAUUGUAUUAAGCGAGUAAUUGUCAGUCUGUGCUCGGUGGGGUCUUGUAACACUCUAAAACUCUAUUCUCCUCAUUUAAUAGAUGAAGCAAAUCUUUUGCCUCCGUUUUGAAAAAAAACUGGGUGCCCAGUGUACACCCAUGUUUAGUUUUGUGGGGAAUGGGUGCCGUGUUCAUAUUGAUAAAAGAGUCAAAAAAAUCCUAUGUAUAAAAAAACUAUUUGGAUGGAUCAUAUGUCGGACCAUAUUUCCUUUUCCACAGAUAUCAUAGGCACCCAUUCCUCACGAAACUAAACACCAGUGUACAAUGGGCACCUAGGUUUGAUAUCCCCAAAUUUCAGAUUAAAAAAAUUAUUGGUAAUUUUUCUAAUGUUUAUUCAUAUAGGGGUGUGUGGCACCUCGGAGCUCUAAUGCAUUUCCCUGUUCUUUAGUUGAUAAUGUAUGCUGCACAUAGUAAAGAAUAUGCUAGACCAAGUUAUAAGUAUUUGUUUUUUGAGAAACACAUUUAAGAUGCAGAUUGUGCUGAUGAAUCAAGACUCACAAAUAACUAUGGUUGUUCAUGUGCAAAUUAGAACUACACAUGUUGAUUUUUAAUGAAUCACGAGGAGCUGGAUCGCCGAUCAAUCGACAGUCCGAGAACUAUGUUGGUAUAGCUAUAAAGAUUUAAAAAAACGAAACAUGAAGUGUGAGAUUUAGAGCAUCUCUAGCAGAUCUUGUAAAAUAGGCUGUCCGCUAUAAUAACCGCCGAUAUAGCGGAUGGGGACGUAUUUUUCGCCCGGAACAAAUCUAUAAAAUUGGUCGUCCGCUAAAUUAUUUUGUGAGAUCCUGCAAAGUCCGGGCUGAUUUCAUCAUAUCUACGGGUUCCCUCCCUCUUUUUGUCGGUUCCCUUAUCUCUCCCGCGUCUUGGCACCAAGGAAAUUUCACCUCACGCGCCCUUCCCUGCCGCCGCAUCUCCCUGUCGUCUCUUGCUGACCCCAGCCAUCCCGCGCCGUACAGUAGCUCUGUCACCCCCGCCGCACCUAUUCCACCAAUUUUGGAGGCCGAGGGUGCCCAUUUUUCUCCGCAGACGAGCGGCCGCCACCAGCACCAUGGUUCCGCCCCGGAGGUUGCUGCGCGGCCUUGUAGUGGGCGCAUCCGGUUGGUUCCCAUGCCGGUGAACCCCGGAAUCGCCUGAGGGAUAGCUGCGCGCGCCGGCGCCGCGGAUUUGGAUCGUGGUGAAGAAGGGGUUUGGCCGAUUUGCUUCGGCCGACACCGGAGAAGAAAGCGGCGGCUCACUUGAUUCCGGGAGGCGGAAUUGCAUUCGGGGAAGGUAAGUUCAAUGCCCGGUGAUUUGUUGAUUCAAUUUCGGCCUGCGAGAUUUAGGAAAAUUCAUCACGUGCAUUUCUUUUGUUAGAUGGAUUGGAGUUCGUCGUCGUCGUCGUCGUCAGAUGAUUCCGUGAUAGAGAGAAGAUUUUGGACAACGAUGUCGACAACCUAGUGUUGUUGUAGCUCGUGAACAAAUUUGAAAGGGGUCCGAAGAGAAAGCGUCAUGGAUCCAAGGUUGACCAGCUAUGCAUUCUGCCCAACCGAUCUCUCAGUGACAAGAUGCUUAUGAAGGACUACUUCGCCAAGGUACCGACAUAUCCGGCUCACCUAUUCUGUAGGCGGUAUCGAACGUGUAGGCCUCUUUUCGUUUGCAUCAUUGAAGGUUGCGAGCAAAAUUGUCGUCUUUUCACUCGUCGAAGGAAUGCUGCCGGUUUGCUUGGCUUUAAUACAUAUCAAAAAAUAUCGGCGGCGAUGAGAGUGAUUGCAUAUGGCGUUCCCGCCGACUAUGCCGAUGAAUAUCUUCGCAUUGGAGAAGAUGCCACUAUCAAAUGCGUGCAGGUGUUUGUGAAGACAAUGGUUCGGGUUUUUGGCCCAGAGUAUCUUCAAGCUCCAAAUGAGGAGGACACAAAGAAGUUGAUGGCGAUGAACGAAGAAUGUGGAUGGUCGGGCAUGCUUGGGAGUAUUGAUUGCAUGCAUUGGAGGUGGAAGAACUGCCCGAUGGCUUGGGCAGGGCAAUACAUUGGACACAAACGUAAACCUACCAAUGUGCUUGAAGCUGUGGCUUCACGCGAUUUAUGGAUUUGGCAUGCUUCUUUGGUUUGCCAGGGUCUCUCAAUGAUAUCAAUGUCCAUCGUUCUCAUCUUUAUGCUCAGCUAGAGUGGAAAAGCUCCGGCUUGCAACUAUACCAUCAAUGACCAUGAUUAUACCAUGGGGUACUAUCUUGCCGACGGUAUUUAUCCUCCAUGGUGAACAUUUGUGAAGACCUCUCCAUGGUGAACAUUUAUGAAGACCAUCAGUGACCCCAAAACCAAGAAGCACGAAAUUUUUGCCGAAGCACAAGAAACAUGCCGAAAAGAUAUUGAGAGGGCAUUUGUUGUGUUGCAAGCUUGGUUUUCCAUUGUUUGAGGUCUCGCUCGAUUCUAGGAUAAGAAAUCCCUCAAAAACAUCAUGGCCGCAUGUGUAAUUUUACACAAUAUGAUCAUCGAGGAUGAGAGAAAUUUGAACUUAAGAGUUUUAUUAUGAUAAUGUGGGUAGCCAUGUGAAGCCUGGCAGGGACGCAGGUGAGAUCACUGCAUUUCUUGAGACAUGCCGGAAGAUUGAGAAUAGUGCUUCACACUACCAGCUCCGCGAUGAUCUUGUUGAGCAUAGUGGCAACUCUAUGGGAGAUUAGACUCCCAUUUUAAUUUUAAUUUUAUAAAUUUCAUAUGUAUUUGUGUGUGAUUGAACAAUUUAUUGUUGUACUAAUUAUUAGAAUUUGAACGGUUGUUGUAAUGAAGAUUGUUGUACUGUGAAUUGCCUUUCGGAUCAUUUAUAUUCAUACGUUUAAUUUAUAUUAUAAUUCUGUUCGGUUGAUAUUGUUAAAAAUCAAAAAGUUGUGAGGCUCAAGAAAAUUUACGGUACCGCGAGGCCUUCGGCUCGGAACAGACCAUGUAAACUCAUCCCACAAAUAUUUUGCCAGGACCUGCUAGAGAUGCUCUUAGGGGCUCGCGGAAGUUGGUCUUUUGAGGCAUCUAUCUAUAGACCUUUUGUGCAAAACUCAUAGGAUAUGACUUGCGUACAAGCAAUAGUCUUUGGUUAUGAGUUGAAACCCCGUGUCCAGUAUCCCAAACAGAUUCUAGAGAUACGACUCCGAGUAGUAUUGUGUCCGAGGGUUUCUUUCACAAGCGAGGCGUCAAAACAAGGUUAACAAACAGCACCAAAUAAUAAAACGAAUAAAACACAAGGCAUAUCAUUUGAGUGAACCAGAAUACCAUCGACAUUAAACUACCACGGAGACGAAACAAAUACAAAGAACUCUUUGGUUACACAAGUACCUAUCUCUUGCUGGCCAAGAGAAGAUAACACACAACCUAGCAGCAAGUACUAAAUAAAAGCUACAACAGCCGGCUCAAGACAGUUUAUUAG